RNAcentral lists this ribosomal RNA (586 nucleotides) under Xenopus cf. laevis UF 185697. RNAcentral's name for it is "partial 16S ribosomal RNA". It matches the Rfam family "Bacterial large subunit ribosomal RNA", at positions 1816 to 2601 of the family's 2925-position model. Lineage: Eukaryota; Metazoa; Chordata; Amphibia; Anura; Pipidae. The record is from RNAcentral.
UCGCCUCUUGCUAAAAAACAUGUAUAAGAGGUCCAGCCUGCCCAGUGACUAUAUGUUCAACGGCCGCGGUAUUCUGACCGUGCAAAGGUAGCGUAAUCACUUGUCUUUUAAAUAAAGACUGGUAUGAAUGGCACCACGAAGGUUCAACUGUCUCCUGCAUCCAAUCCAUUAAACUGACCUCCCCGUGCAGAGGCGGGGAUACAACCAUAAGACGAGAAGACCCUAUGGAGCUUUAAACUAAAGGCAACUGCCAACUUCAACCUAACCCAUAAGGAAAUAACAAUAAAACAAGCAGAAAUUGACCUAAAGUUUUCGGUUGGGGCGACCACGGAGAAUAAAAAAUCCUCCUUGAAGAAUAGGGCCUACCACCCUUAACCAAGAAUCACCAUUCUAAGUAACAAAAUUUAUGACUACAAUUGAUCCAGUCUUACUGAUCAACGAACCAAGUUACCCUAGGGAUAACAGCGCAAUCCAUUUCAAAAGUUCCUAUCGACAAAUGGGUUUACGACCUCGAUGUUGGAUCAGGGCAUCCCAGUGGUGCAGCCGCUACUAAAGGUUCGUUUGUUCAACGAUUAAAGCCCUACGU